RNAcentral lists this ribosomal RNA (253 nucleotides) under uncultured bacterium. Its description in RNAcentral is "partial 16S ribosomal RNA". It matches the Rfam family "Bacterial small subunit ribosomal RNA", at positions 524 to 776 of the family's 1533-position model. The record is from RNAcentral.
UACGUAGGGUGCAAGCGUUGUCCGGAAUCAUUGGGCGUAAAGCGCGUGUAGGCGGCUGGCUAAGUCCGCUCUGAAAGCCCGGGGCUCAACCCCGGGAGGCGGGUGGAUACUGGUCAGCUCGAGUCCGGAAGAGGAGUGUGGAAUUCCUGGUGUAGCGGUGAAAUGCGCAGAUAUCAGGAGGAACACCGAUGGCGAAGGCAGCACUCUGGGACGGUACUGACGCUGAGACGCGAAAGCGUGGGGAGCAAACAGG